This 69-nucleotide transfer RNA is filed under the name Rhodomonas abbreviata. Lineage: Eukaryota; Cryptophyceae; Pyrenomonadales; Pyrenomonadaceae. The record is from RNAcentral.
UUUUGAAAACGUAAUUGGGUAUUCUGUAUACGACUGUCCGGGGAGUUUCACGAUGGAAUUAAACUACCC